RNAcentral lists this ribosomal RNA (343 nucleotides) under uncultured fungus. Its description in RNAcentral is "SSU rRNA". It matches the Rfam family "Eukaryotic small subunit ribosomal RNA", at positions 28 to 371 of the family's 1831-position model. The record is from RNAcentral. Lineage: Eukaryota; Fungi.
AUGCUUGUCUCAAAGAUUAAGCCAUGCAUGUCUAAGUAUAAACAAAUCUAUACUGUGAAACUGCGAAUGGCUCAUUAAAUCAGUUAUAGUUUAUUUGAUAGUACCUUACUACUUGGAUAACCGUAGUAAUUCUAGAGCUAAUACAUGCUAAAAAACCCGACUCUUGGAAGGGUUGUAUUUAUUAGAUAAAAAACCAAUGCGGCUCUGCCGGUUCUUUGGUGAUUCAUAAUAACUUUGCGAAUCGUAUGACGCAAGUCGACGAUGAUUCAUUCAAAUUUCUGCCCUAUCAACUUUCGAUGGUAAGGUAUUGGCUUACCAUGGUUACAACGGGUAACGGGGAAUA